AUAGAAUUAAGUUAUAUUAAACUAUUAGUUUUCAAAACUAAAAAAUAAUUUCUAUA
Molecule: transfer RNA, 56 nt
Filed under: Bursaphelenchus mucronatus
Lineage: Eukaryota; Metazoa; Nematoda; Chromadorea; Rhabditida; Aphelenchoididae
Description: tRNA-Trp
Source: RNAcentral